Molecule: long non-coding RNA, 1404 nt
Filed under: Monomorium pharaonis (pharaoh ant)
Lineage: Eukaryota; Metazoa; Arthropoda; Insecta; Hymenoptera; Formicidae
Description: uncharacterized LOC105829105, transcript variant X6
Source: RNAcentral
AGCGAAAUGAAUUAUUUCAAUUUCGCUACUGUCUACGGCCUACAGCAUGCGUCACAUCGGUCACGUCUUGCAAGUCUUGUGAUUUGAGUUCGUGUUCGUCUAUUAAAUUCAGAUUUGUUUUUCAAUUAAAGAAUUCGCGAUGUCUGAUAAAGAAAUUCUAAUGUUUGGUGAUAAUGAAAGAUAUGAAGAAGAUGAUGAUGACGAUUAUGAUGAACAUAAUAUUUUAAAAGAAGAGUUAAUGACUUAGUUUACACCGAGCACUUGCAAAUCCUGCUUUAUAUGCGAAGAAUUGGAAGGAAUAUGCUGGCAAAGGUUUUUGUAAAGAUUUAGCUUGGGAAAGCAUUGGAGCUAAUUUGUCAAAGAAAAUGUCAGGAAAAGAUGUCGCCAAGAUAUGAUAUAAUAUUCGCCAACGAUUUGAUAGAGAAAGACGAAAAGUCCUAGCAGCUUGCAAAGGAAAAUCUGGGCAAGGGACAAAUCCAUUGUAUGUACCAAAAUGGCAAUUGUAUAAUCUCUGUUUCUUAAUGGAUCAUAUCAUGCCUCGCAAAACUGCAAGUAAUUACAUAUCAAAGAAGAAUGUUAACAAAAUCACAACUGUUGAAAAAGCUGCUCUUUCCUCGACCUGUAUUCAACCUUUACCAUUAGCGUCACCGUCUUUGUUAUCAAAAGUAACAUCAUCUCCGCAAGUAAUAUUUUUACAAGCACCGUCUUCACCAGCGUCAAAAAUAUCAAUACCUUCGUCUUCGUCAAAUGCAUGGUCGAGUGAUGUGGAGUCAAUGAUUAGUAUACAUCUGUAUUUUCAAUCGAGAAUAGCAAGGAAAAGGAAGCUUGUUUUCAUACGCCACCUUCGCCCAAUCUUAAUGUGGAGGAAUGUUCUAUAACAUCGUAAGGACAUGUUAAAAACGAUGCAAAAGAUAUCUGCAUCCAUUACAAAAAUUGUUGCUGAACUUGAUAAUUUUGCUAAACGCAGAAAGAAAGAUGAUAAUCUACUUAUGUAAAGCAUAACUAAACAAUCAACAGCUCUAACUUCUUUUGUUACAAAAUUAGAGAAGUCCUCUGAGAAUUCAGAGGAUUGGAAUACAAGUGUGAUCCUCCCAUUAUACAAAAAAGGCGACCAUGAAAAGACAGAAAAUUACAGAGAUAUAUCGUUGCUCUACUCAGCUUAUAAAAUCUAUACAGAAAUACUAAGGAGAAAAUUGGAAGAAGAAACAGAAAACUUAGAAGUACUACCCCGAGAGUCAAGGAGGAUUUAGGAGUGGAAGAGGAACGAUGGAGAACAUUUUCAUAUUGAACCACUUGGUGAAAAACGAAAAGCUCAAAGAGGAGAAGGUAUUUGCCUUUUUUUUUAACCAAAGGUAAUGGUUUUUCACAGAAGCGGAAAAGAAAAGAUAGGAAAAUGAAUAUGAA